Molecule: ribosomal RNA, 3209 nt
Filed under: Brassica rapa (field mustard)
Lineage: Eukaryota; Viridiplantae; Streptophyta; Magnoliopsida; Brassicales; Brassicaceae
Description: eukaryotic LSU rRNA
Rfam family: Eukaryotic large subunit ribosomal RNA (bases 372-1767)
Source: RNAcentral
GACUUCUCGACAACGAUAUAUCUCGCUCUUGCAUCGAUGAAGAACGUAGCAAAAUGCGAUACUUGGUGUGAAUUGCAGAAUCCCAUGAACCAUCAAGUAUUUGAACGCAAGUUGCGCCCCAAUCCUUCUGGCCGAGGGCACGUCUGCUUGGGUGUCACAAAUCGUCGUCCCCCAUCCUCUCGAGGAUAUGGGACAGAAGUUGAUCUCCUGUGUGUUACCGUACGCUGUUGGCCAAAAUCCGAGCUAAGGAAGCCAGGAGUGUCUUGACAUGCAGUGGUGAAUUCAAUUCUCAUCAUAUAGUCGACGCGUUCUGGUCCAAAAGCUCUUGAUGACCCAAAGUCCUCAACGUGACCCCAGGUCAGGCGGGAUCACCCGCUGAGAUUAAGCAUAUCAAUAAGCGGGCGGAAAAGAAACUAACAAGGAUUCCCUUUAGUAACGGCGAAGCGAACCGGAAGAGCCUGGCUUGAAAAUCAGACGCCUUUGGGGUUGGAAUUGUAGUUUGAGAAGCGCCCUCAGCGACGAAACCUGGCCCAAUUUCCCCGGAAAGGGCACCAGAGAGGGUGAGAGCCCCCAUCGUGUUCGACCCUGUCGCACCACGAGGUGCAGUCUCACGAAGUCGGGUUGUUUGGGAAUGCAGCCCCAAUAGGGCGGUAAAUUCCGUCCAAGGCUAAAUAUAGGCGAUAGACCAAUAGCGAACAAGUACCGCGAGGUAAAGAUGAAAAGGACUUUGAAAAGAGAGUCAAAGAGUGCUUGAAAUUGUCAGGAGGGAAGCGGAUGGGGGCCGGCGAUUCAUCCCGGUCGGAUGCGGAACGGAGCAAUCCGGUCCGCCGAUCGAUUCGGGCCGUGGCCCGACACGGAUUGAGGUGAUGACCUAAGCCCGGGCUUUUGGUACGCCCACGGAGACGUUGCUGCCUUAAUCGUGGUCUGCAGCAUCGCCUGCGGCGUGCCUCCUCGCAUCUGCGUGCUCAAGGCUUCGGCCUGUGGGCUCCCCAUUCGAGCCGUUUUGAAACACGGACCAAGGAGUCUGACAUGUGUGCCAGCCAACGGGUGAGUAAACCCAUAAGGCGCAAGGAAGCAGAUUGGCUGGAUCCCGCACGGGUGCACAGCCGACCGACCUUGAUCUUCUGAGAAGGGUUCGACUGUGAGCAUGCCUGUCGGGACCCGAAAGAUGGUGAACUGUGCCUGAGCGGGGCGAAGCCAGAGGAAACUCUGGUGGAGGCCCGCAGCGAUACUGACGUGCAAAUCGUUCGUCUGACUUGGGUAUAGGGCCAAAAGACUAAUCAAACCAUCUAGUAGCUGGUUCCCUCCGAAGUUUCCCUCAGGAUAGCUGGAGCUCGGAAACGAGUUCUAUCGAGUAAAGCCAAUGAUUAGAGGCAUCGGGGACACCAUGUCUGCGACCUAUUCUCAAACUUUAAAUAGGUAGGACGGUGUAGGAACCCGUUAAAAAAAAGAAAAAGAAAAGAGUGGUCGAGUAUCUUUGUGGUGGUCGAGUCACGGGCGAUAAGGAUCGAUCGAGAAGUUUUGAAGUACGAGGUGGGCGAAGAAGUGAUCGUGAGUGAACUAUGAGUCGAAUAAUUUGCUCGACCAUAGUUAGAAGAUGUCUUAGAUUGAUGAGAGGGACGUUUUGGAAGCAUAACAUUUUUGAAAGCACGACGGUUUAGAAGCUCGACGUUUUGGAAGAAUGACGUUUCUUCAGCACGAAGUUUUCUGCAAAAUUUCGUAUCAGCGGAAUAUUAUUUUGAAGACAUUGGAAGAAUGACAGGAAUUAAGCACGACGGGAAGCAAGCAUGACGGGAAAACCCAAAAUUAGACGAAAGCUCUAAUUUCGGUAUUAUGCAAGUCUUCGAUGAAGCCGAAGGAUCGGGAAAUAUUUUUCAUCAAGGUCAGAAAUAUUUAGGAAUCUCUGAAUAAUAAUUAGAUCAUCAGAACAGGAGCGGAAAAUUAUUCGGGAUUGAUCGCGGGACGAAAAUUUACCGGAAGGACCGAAAUCAGGCCAAUGGACCGAGAAGCUUGAGGUGGCUCGUUGCAUGGGUUCAGAACGUGGUGUCAACUGUCCAGAAAACUGAGUGUCUACAGAAGCUCGAGGUGUCAUCAUGCAUGGAAGCUGCACAUGCAGCUUGACAUGUAGAAGCACGAGGUGGAUCGGCCAAGUACGAGAUGUCGCGACCGCAUGCAACCGAAGCAUGCUGAUCGACAUGUGUGAGGAUGUGUGGCGCCUUGCAUGAGCUCCAGUCAUGCAGCCUGACAUCUGGGAGGAGUGGUGGCGUCCUGCAUGUGUCCUCGAAAUGCAGCCAGCCAUGUCGAGCACGAGGUGCCGCCGGACAUGCGUCCGGAGCCAUGCGAAGUGACACACGGGCUGCCACCAAGCUGAAGCUGAUUGGCUGGUGUCUCCAAUAAAUACCCCACGACCCCUGCUCAUUUCAACACAACCAGACCUGUCCAAACCAGGUUAAAAACAUAAGAGAAAAGUAGAAAAAGAAAGGAAGUGGUUCCGAGCUAUGUCGAGAGUCUUAGAGAGUUUUCGAGAUCAGUUCUCUACUGAUUUUGAGUCAUCGCCUUGGGAAGGUUCUGUCCAACUGAAGGUCAAUCAAAUGAAGAUCAGCUCAGAUGGGAAUCGAGUCAAUGUGGCCAGAGAGAAAGAGAGAGAAGCAAAGUGUUGACUUAGAGUGUAGUCGAUUCUAACCGAGAAGGCCAGUUCCGUCCGAUCGAGGAUUCUCUACGAUUGUGACGCUGAAGCUCUGUCCAAAUGAUUUCGUCCAGGUCAGUCAGUUCUUUUGAUGAUCAAGUGGAGGUGCUGUCCGGAUUUAGUUCUGAUCCACGGGUUCAGAUCAGUCAAAGUUCUGCUCGAUACUCCGCCGGGAAGUCCAAAGAACUGUCCAGAAGCUAGAGGAGGUUCUGUCCAAGUCCAGAUCAGUCCGUCCAGACCUGUUAGUGUCUUCAUGAUCAAGCCGAGAGUCUGUCCAAGUCGAUGUCAGUUCAGUCCAAGUCCGAUCAACCAGCUGCUUCUCGCCUAGAACUCUGUGAGUUGGUUUUGUGUGAAUUCAACUUGGAAUUUAGGGUAGUUUUGUGAGUUGGUUUGUUUGAAUUCCACUUGGAAUUUAGGGUAGAUCGAGUCGCAUAUAGAGUAGAUUGAUCACGCUAUUGAAUGGUAGAGUCCUUAGGGUUAUUUUAUUUAUUGAACCGGACUCAGUUUAGCAAGGGCUAAGCUG